AGUAGGUUCCUAUCUCUAUAUGUACCAUAUGCGGCAACCACCACUGCUCCAAAAUAGAUCGAAGGGGCGGACUGCCUAGGGUUGCGCUGUAGUAGAUCAACACUGCGAUUGCGCCGCCGUCCAUGUUGAGGCCGCUCCUCUAGCGUGAGUUUUCCGUCCAGUCUGAUCAGUGGUGCUCCAUUAUGGUAUGGUUGCUCAUCUACGUCAUGGCCUGUUGAUUUCCCCUGAUCUCCCAUGUCUCUCUCACCGCUUGGUUCCUGGUGAUUAAAGGAUUGCAUCAACACAACAGCAUUGAUUCACGGAAAUUAACCAUGUGCGAUGGCUUUAGAUGAUCCAAUAGAGCAGUCGUGCAACUGUGGUGCCAAGGUGGAGUUGUUGAUUUUGACGAGGAUGAUGCCUGCUGCUUUAAUCAUCCCAUAUUUGUCUUUCUCCCCUUGCCCUCUCGGAUCAUCCCAAUAUGUUGACGGCAACCUCUUAAUGUUGCAGCUUCUGCUAUCAUUUCUUCUUUUAAAAUUUUGACCUUAACUUGGAUAGGAGUGGAUAGUUGGAGUCGCUUUAUCUCCUGUGCAAGAUAUCCAC
Panicum virgatum (switchgrass) is the source of this 579-nucleotide long non-coding RNA. RefSeq lists it as uncharacterized. Lineage: Eukaryota; Viridiplantae; Streptophyta; Magnoliopsida; Poales; Poaceae. The record is from RefSeq and is a predicted model, not a curated record. The transcript is spliced from 2 exons.